This 506-nucleotide ribosomal RNA is filed under the name uncultured bacterium. RNAcentral describes it as "partial 16S ribosomal RNA". It matches the Rfam family "Bacterial small subunit ribosomal RNA", at positions 29 to 523 of the family's 1533-position model. The record is from RNAcentral.
AUUGAACGCUGGCGGCAGGCCUAACACAUGCAAGUCGAGCGGUAGCACAAGGGAGCUUGCUCCCUGGGUGACGAGCGGCGGACGGGUGAGUAAUGUCUGGGAAACUGCCUGAUGGAGGGGGAUAACUACUGGAAACGGUAGCUAAUACCGCAUAACGUCUUCGGACCAAAGAGGGGGACCUUCGGGCCUCUUGCCAUCGGAUGUGCCCAGAUGGGAUUAGCUGGUAGGUGAGGUAAAGGCUCACCUAGGCGACGAUCCCUAGCUGGUCUGAGAGGAUGACCUGCCACACUGGAACUGAGACACGGUCCAGACUCCGACGGGAGGCAGCAGUGGGGAAUAUUGCACAAUGGGCGCAAGCCUGAUGCAGCCAUGCCGCGUGUGUGAAGAAGGCCUUCGGGUUGUAAAGCACUUUCAGCGGGGAGGAAGGGGGUAAGGUAAAUACCUUUACCCAUUGACGUUACCCGCAGAAGAAGCACCGGCUAACUCCGUGCCAGCAGCCGCGGUAA